This 5402-nucleotide long non-coding RNA is filed under the name Sus scrofa (pig). Its description in RNAcentral is "lncRNA (ENSSSCG00030003951.1)". The record is from RNAcentral. Lineage: Eukaryota; Metazoa; Chordata; Mammalia; Artiodactyla; Suidae.
ACCACCAUCAUGUAAAAAGAAAAAAAAAAGACUGAUAAAGGUUUUAAUAGAAUUUUUUAAGAAAAAAACCUGAAAUCAGUUCAGGGCCAUAUGUUGGAUUCUGUGGCCUGAGAAGGAAAAUAUGUUCAUUAGAUUUGCAGAAAUUUAAAACAUGUAUUUUUAAAUAGUAGAAGGUCUAGAGUUCAGAAAGAUCAGCCCAGACAAGAAGGAAAAGUGAGAGCGCUCUGACAUUUGCACUAAAGAGAAUAUGAUCCCCAAAGUUAGCAUCUCAGACAGUGAGUCUUGAAAAGGUAAAGCUGGGAGUCUCAGUAACAGAAAUGUCUGAGGAACAUAUCUGGACACCCGAGAGCAACACAUGGUACCCUGAGCGGUAGAAACUGCUUCUGACCCAGUGGUUCGUCGUGUAUUUCUUAUACAAGUCCAGAGUUCCUCUUGGCGUAGAGACGGCCCUGAACCUGUGUGAGAAUGUGCUCAGUGGUUCCAGCAGCAUGGCAUCCAGCAGCAUGGCACAUUGUAUGUCAGUGUGGAGACAGUGAAAUGAGUUUAGACAGAAACUUCUAGUCUUGCCCUUUGCCAUUUUGGCAGUUCUUAUUCAGGCAGAAGAAAGAUUUGUCUUAAUUAAGGCUUAUGUUCAUAUGUUCAUAAUUAAAUAGUUUUUAAAAACUGAAAAAAUUCACUAAGAGCCAACUGUCAGAAUUGUGCUGUAUCCAACUACAAAUUUAUCUGGAAGGCGUUUCACUGCCAACCUUUUGGAAUGUGUAGUCUGAACAGUGUGACUUUGUGUCUUAACCUCUCAGUCAUACCUCUCCCCACUACUAUCUGGCUCCUCUGUAUCUUCUUUCCUGUUAGGCAUAGGGCCCUCUGCAAAGUAAAAACUCAACUGACAUUCUGAUGUAUUUUAAUUUCAUUUAUUUUGUUUAUCCCUUGUAUCCUGCUUACUUCGAAAAUAAAAGAGAAUCUUUUAGCAUGGGGAUAAGCUACUACUCGCCAAAUAAUAAAAUUAUAUGUUCACUUAUUGAAAAGUAAACAAGUAAAGGCAUGGGAAAUUUUAAAAAAUGCUAGGCAGUAAAUGGUUAUUAUACAAGGCUGAAAAUUCAAUUGGGGGAGGGACAAACCAUAAAAAAGUAGCACAGAAAACAGAAAAAAGGAAGAAAAGAGAGAUGAAUCAUCCUUUGCCUUUGCUGUUCCCUCUGCCCCUGGGUAUGCACUUCCUCUCUGUCCUAAGUUUUCCUCUCAGAAGAACUGAAAUGUUAAUCUUCUUAGGGGCACCUUCCUUGGCUGCUAUCUAAAAGUAACCCAGCUGACAUCGUCAACAUUUCUCAUCCAUCUUUCCAAAGUUUACGUUGCUCCAAAGAAUUCAUAACUAUCAAAUUUACCAUAUAUAUUACUUGUUUAUAUUUAGUGCAUCUCCCUCGAUAGAAUAAAGCUUGGUGAAGGCAGGAAGUGUUUUGUGUUUGUUCUCUGUACAUCCCUAGCACAUGCCUGGGGCAUGGCAAAUGCUUGGUUAGUAUUUGUUGAGUGAGCAAUAAAUGAAUAGUUUAAUAAUUCUAUAUGACAUACGCAUCCAGAGAUUAGGACAGAGAUGGGCUAUCGUGUGAGGAUCUGAGAAUGUAGGAUAUACAGAUGAUAGGUACAGGGAUAUGAUUGAUGCCAUGGAAAUGAAUAUAGAAUGAGACAAAAAGCCACAGUAUUAUCUUGAAGAACUUCAGUAUUAACAACUAUUCAGGAAGAGAGGGGAAAACAAAGAAAAUUGGGGAAUGACCAAAUAGGCAAGGGGAAAAUACAGUGUUUUAAAAUGUUGUAAGUUAAAGAGAGUAGACAGCUUUAUAGAAUGCUUCUGAAAGAUCCAGUAAGAGGAGAUCUGAAAAAGUGUUCUCUGGAUUCAGUGUCCUGGACACAGUAACGUGAGCCAAAUCCAUGGAGAAAUAGGAACAGAAACUAGACUGGAAUGAACUGUGGAAUCAAUGAGUAAAUAAGGAGGAGGGAAGAAAAUGGGGACAGUCAGUACAGACAACACACUUUUUUUGGCUUUGUGGCUGUGCAUGGGAGGCAGGAGAUGCAGGAUUCAGGGAAGAAUGUUGUCACAUUGGAGUGACUAAAAUAAUUACAUGCCAAGAAGGAGCUUCUUGGAAAUAAAAGAAGAGGUGAAAAUUGAAAGCAUGUGACUUUAGAGAUAGUAAAAGGAGAUGGAAUCCAAUUACCCCUGUGGGGAUUUGCCUUUGAUAGGAAGAGGGCCAGAAACACCACCUCGAUAGAGUAGAAGAAAAGGCAGUGGUCGUUACAAGAAGAUUAGUAGGGCCCCUGUGCAAGGAUGGCAUGUAAUUCAUUCCAGAUUAAAAAAAAAAAUAGAAAGGAAAGUUACCUGCCAACAGUGAAAGAAUGCAACAGAAAUGACUUGGAAAUCAGGAGGAAAGAUGAAAGAGAAUGGAAGAGUGGGAAGCUGACUGAGAAAUAUGUCCCACUGCUAUGGAGUCUUGAGAGCUCAAUUAAUUGGUGACACUGGCUAUAUUAUGAUGCUGGCUUUCUGUAUGCAUGUAUGGUUUUCUCUCUGGAUGUGAAUGUUUUCAUCUAGAAUAUGACUUUUCAAGAAAGGCGUAAUGGAAGAACCUAGUAACAAGGGGAUAGACGUCUUUAUAAAAAUGUUCUCUAAAAUCAUUAAAAAUGGAGUUUAGGCCAAGUUAAAACAAAGGAAUAAACUAAAUAGAAGAAAGGCUUUAAUAAUAAUAACAGCUAUAAUUUAUCGCUUACUUAGCUUACGCCGAGAACUUUUCUAAAUACAUAUGAUUACUCACUUAAUUCUUGUGAUUAUCCUAUGAGGUAGGUAACUAAAAUUCAAGGUAUUACUCUUACAUUAAUUUUACAGUGAAGAGAACCAUGUCUAAGGUUACACAGAUAAUAAACAGCAAAUCAGGGACUUUAACCAUUUGAUAGUCUAGUUCCAGCGUCUUCACUUUAACCACUUUGCAACACGGAGUAUAACAGAAGUCUUGAAGAACCUAAACACAGAAUGGGGGAAUUGAGCAAGUAAAAUGAGAGGGUAAGAGAUUCCUGUUGGAGCUGUGGGAUGUUUUAAUUAGCAAAUUCAGAAGGAAUACACUUUGAAGUCACAACAAGGCUCUAGUUUUGGCACGUGAACUUAUAUUUGUUUGUGCUCUCUUCCAAUGGAACAAUUCAACGCUGCAGGUAGAAAAUACUUUAGUUACAUUCACUGAAGAUUAUGUUUUUCAUGUAUCAUUUUUGAAACAUAGGAGUUUUGAUGUUAUUGAGACCCUAGUAAUUUGUUACAUAUUUUUAAGAAACUGGAUUAAAGUAUUCUCAGUGAAAACUCCAUGGGAGAGCAUCUUGAGGUAAUAAUCUCAAGAAAUAGGUCAGACUGGGAUAAAGACCAAAAUCACAGAGUAGCAGUACGUGUUUAUUUCACGUUAUGGUGGAUCACAUAGUUUGUACUUCACCUUUGUCAAUUCAGACAACUAACAUGGACUUUCAAGUGGUAGUUUUUUGUUUUUUUUUUUUUCAGGAUGGGAACUGAUUCAUGCAAGUUUAAAUUUGCCUCUAGAAUGUACUGUAAUAUACUCAGUAAUUUCCAUGAAAAUUGGCUGAUAGAUCACACAAAUCAGAUCUACAUUUUAUUGCAAGGCUAGGAUAAUUGUUAGUGAUUCCUAAGAAAUAAUAAAGUUGCUCAAAUGUACACACUUCCUGGGAGCCUUAUUUUAGUUGACGUAAUGUGCCCGACUGCCCAUUGUAUGAAUCCUCUGUGCCUCCAUGUUGCUUUCCACAGGUCAGGGUGUGGGUGGGGUGUAUCGCUCAAGUAAGGUACAUGGGCUUCCAGGCCCACCUUGAUAUGGGCCCAAGCUUGGCAUAUUUGAGGUCUGAAGAAGGCAGUGUGGGUGGAAUUUGGUGGAAGAAGAUGAGUUCUAAAACAGUACACGAUCUGUUGGCUGUAGCAAGGAGUAUGAAUUUUAUUUUAGCAAUAAGAAGAAAGAAAACACUUCUAAUCACGACCCUUUUUAAUGGACAGAAAACUAAGAUUCAAAAUGCUUCAGUAAUUUGCAGAUGGGAACUCUGAAAUGACCAAGCUGCAGCUUAUACUCUUGUCUUCCUGACACCAAGAUCUGUUUGUUUUUUAAUACCGCUGUUUCAACACCGAACUAACAAAGAAAAUUAUUCAGCAAAAGUUUUUGAACAUAUUUGGGCCACAUGAUAUGGUAGAUAAUAAUGUAAUCACUAAAGUGAAUAUAUCUUAAUUACUUUAGAUGUGUUCGUUUAAUAGAUUAUAACAAUAACGUAAAUGUUUAUCACGAUCUGUUUUUCAAUUCUGUGCUAAAUACUUUGCAUGGGUUAUCUUGUUUCUCCCUAACAAUAAUCCCAGGAGGAAGGCACUAUUAUUAUACCCAUUUUAUGUAUGAAAAGACUAAGAUUCAAGUGGGUCAAGAAACUUGCCUAUGGUCUUACACUGGUUAAAUGGUAGAUUCAUAAGAGCAAAAACGAUUUCACUAUUUAUUGGGUUGUCAUGGAUAAUUCCGUUAAAUCAUAGUUUAUUAGCUUAGUUUGUAGUUAGCCUGUGUGGGGUUAGUUCUUAUGAAAAUAAAAUAAUAUUCUAUCAUUUCCCAUUUCUCAUUAAUUUUUUCCAAGAUAUUGUGGAGAUGAUAUCCAGAGAUCUAAAUGAAGAGAAUAACUCUGGAGAAGUAGAUGUCAGAGGAGAUGACUGUGAAUGUCCUUAUUGGGAAUGUAGCCAAGUAAGGAUUUUGAGAAUAUUUAUUCAGUGAUUAAACAAAUACUGUAAACCUGCUGUGUGCCAGGUACUUUGGAAAAAUAAAUGAUGGGUGGGUAGGAGCCAACUAAGAUGAAUAUCUGUGAUUUAACAUUUCCUCAGAACUUGUCAGAACCUAAUAGUUCCAAAAGUUAGGCUGACAGAAAUCUAUGAUAUGCCGCAUAAAAGACUUCUAGUAACUCUUCACCUUGCAUAGCAUAUAGAAGGAAAAUAUAACUCAUCAAAGCUUAAUCAUCAAUCUUAAGAUUCUGUUAUAUGUAGAGUUUGAUCAUUUCAGAAUUUAGGAAAGACUCCCUAGACUCUGAAGGGUUCUUAUUUGAGUUUUAUAUCUGAUAAGUGGUAAGAUAGUGCCAGUUUCAUAGUGUUCAGUUUAGCACAGACACAUAAAUGUUAGCUAAUCUAAACAGCAGGCCCAGUCAAUUUGUUACCAUCCUGAAGUGAUAGUCAGCCUGGUUAGUGUCUUGAAAGAAAGGGUAAACUGGAAAAUCUGGCCUCUGCCUCUGGGUUGUUAAGCCAUCCAAAGCUCAGGAUGCAUGGCUUUUAAAAUACACACCCCUAAUUCAGAAUUUCUUAGGAUAUCACACAGUUAUGCUUUUCCACUUCAGUGUAUACUCUCUUCAAUAUUUCAUGU